Molecule: long non-coding RNA, 766 nt
Organism: Canis lupus familiaris (dog)
Lineage: Eukaryota; Metazoa; Chordata; Mammalia; Carnivora; Canidae
Exons: 2
Source: RefSeq, a predicted model, not a curated record
UGCAGACCUUUCAAACAGAAACUGGAAAUUCUGCCCAAGUGAACCAAUCUCUAGGCACCUGGGAUCCAUGGUGGACGGUGAUCAAUUGUGUGGCUUUUUUCAAAAAGGAAAAAGCAAUACCCCGGCUGAUCUCUCCUGGCGGCAGAAGCAACUUGGAGCUCCCAAAUAUUCAGCAGUCCUCGCUCCACUAAUGAUCAUCACACUAGCGAGGACCAGAGUACCCCUACCGCAUUCUCACUGCAGCAGGGCGCGGCCAAUCACCUCUGCCGACACUACCCAGUUCAUUAUCCCAACCGGCAGCGCUCCUCCAAUCACAGGCGGCCGAUUCCCUGCAUGCAUGCGGCCGGCAGCUCUGCAGGGAGGUGCUGAUGGCGAGCUCCAGGCUCCGAGCGAGCCUCCCACCUCGCAGAGUCCUCCCUGUGCUGGCGCCCGCCCGCAGGACCCCAACUUCCUUCUCCCCGCCUGCUCGUUUCCGGGACGACAUUCACCAUCAAGGUUAACAUGAUCGACAGGCCCUGGCAACACUUCCUAACACAUCUAGCAACAUUUUUCUUUGCUCCCUUAUCCCAUUCUCUCCAACGGAGCGGAAAACAAUACCCGCCAUACCGGCUACUUACUCUCCCCGUGUCUUCCUCUACGCCAUGAGCUGCUUGGGGACAGGAACCAAGUCACUCAUGUUUCUACCGGUAGUACCCACAACCAGCACAGAUGAAGUCUGCAGACUGGGAUUGCGUCUAUGAUGAUGAAUAAAAGGGAAUUAAUCUUU